AUUGAACGCUGGCGGCAUGCUUUACACAUGCAAGUCGAACGGUAACAGGCCGCAAGGUGCUGACGAGUGGCGGACGGGUGAGUAAUGCAUCGGAACGUGCCCAGUCGUGGGGGAUAACUACUCGAAAGAGUAGCUAAUACCGCAUACGAUCUAUUGAUGAAAGCGGGGGACCGUAAGGCCUCGCGCGAUUGGAGCGGCCGAUGUCAGAUUAGGUAGUUGGUGGGGUAAAGGCUCACCAAGCCAACGAUCUGUAGCUGGUCUGAGAGGACGACCAGCCACACUGGGACUGAGACACGGCCCAGACUCCUACGGGAGGCAGCAGUGGGGAAUUUUGGACAAUGGGCGCAAGCCUGAUCCAGCAAUGCCGCGUGCAGGAAGAAGGCCUUCGGGUUGUAAACUGCUUUUGUACGGAAAGAAACGGAUCUGGUUAAUACCCGGGGCUAAUGACGGUACCGUAAGAAUAAGCACCGGCUAACUACGUG
Molecule: ribosomal RNA, 482 nt
Filed under: uncultured bacterium
Lineage: Bacteria
Description: partial 16S ribosomal RNA
Rfam family: Bacterial small subunit ribosomal RNA
Source: RNAcentral